Molecule: unclassified non-coding RNA, 372 nt
Filed under: uncultured Gammaproteobacteria bacterium
Lineage: Bacteria; Pseudomonadati; Pseudomonadota; Gammaproteobacteria
Description: contains 16S-23S intergenic spacer region
Source: RNAcentral
UCCGGUUUGUCACCGGCAGUCUCCCUAGAGUGCCCUUGCGUAGCAACUAGGGACAAGGGUUGCGCUCGUUGCGGGACUUAACCCAACAUCUCACGACACGAGCUGACGACAGCCAUGCAGCACCUGUGUUACGGUUCUCUUUCGAGCACCCUCACAUCUCUGUGAGGUUCCGGACACGUCAAGGGUAGGUAAGGUUUUUCGCGUUGCAUCGAAUUAAUCCACAUAAUCCACCGCUUGUGCGGGUCCCCGUCAAUUCCUUUGAGUUUUAACCUUGCGGCCGUACUCCCCAGGCGGUCAACUUCACGCGUUAGCUUCGUUACUGAGUCAGUGAAGACCCAACAACCAGUUGACAUCGUUUAGGGCGUGGACUAC